Molecule: long non-coding RNA, 398 nt
Organism: Apis dorsata (giant honeybee)
Lineage: Eukaryota; Metazoa; Arthropoda; Insecta; Hymenoptera; Apidae
Exons: 2
Source: RefSeq, a predicted model, not a curated record
CUACAUAAGGAUAAUUGAAAAAAACUUCCAUAUGUGUACAUGAAUUAUAAAUUACAAAAUCAAAUAUUUCAUUAUAAAAAAAGAAGAUAUCCUGAAUCAAAAAAAAAUUUUCAUGAAAAAUUAUUCGUUUUCUAUUUGGAUCUAAUAUGAAGAAAUAUAGAAAUAUAUUGCAGACCGUUGCAUUUUCCAACAAUAUCAUUCAGGCCACUUUUGCGAUGAAAUAUCGAACACUAAUGUAAUUGACCAGAUGCUGACUUAUCAGAACCGCCAGCAUACAGAAUAUCUCAAUGCAACCGGAACUCAGAAAAACCGUCCUCUCAUCGGCAUCUUUUUAUCAUCUCGAUCUAUUCUAAACCAACUCGAUUACAUGUCGAUAAACGGAAAUGGAGCGAUUCGAA